CAAAAAGCAAAAGCGGAAUGGACAAUUUUUGAUUUCUAUAAAUAGCAAAACUCUUUUUGAUUUCAGAAGAAGUAGGACAGUGCUAUUUGCUUAAUUGGACUAAGUCCUGACUGCUGAAAUUCAUGUGAAAUUCUGUUUAGUAGUUUAGCCUGCUGGGUCCGAAGCUGGAAAGAGAUAUUACUUUCCAUCUAGUGAAACAAGAGCGUUACUCAUUCUCCUUAUAAUCUCUUUGAAGCAUCUGUGCUUGAGGCAGAAGCUAAGGUCUCAAAUUGAGGCAUUUUAACACACAGUGUCAACGAUGUUGUGCCUAGCACUGUGCUGAGCCAAAUAAUUGCAUCACUGUGCCAUGUUUCUGCUUACCUAAUGCACUCUGAUGCAAGAGAAAGUACCUGGGAAUUGCUUGGCAUGUUUGACAAGGGUGAACGAGGGGGGGAGGAGGAGAGGAUUUCCUGUCUUCUGGCAUCCUCUAAAGGUUGGUAUUUGGAAGGAUAAGCUCUUCAGAAGAGAUGCUGCUGGUAUUUCUUCCCUAGGAAGCAUCCCCCAAGGGCUCCAUGGGACCGCAGAACAACUCAGGAUGAAGGAGACCUUGGGCUUAGCACCUUGUCCAUCCUCCGGAUAAUCCUUCACCAAAAUGCCACGUAGGAGUCCCACCACUGCUGUCUGUUCUUUUCACUGUACAGAGAGUGGUGGGAUCAGGACAUUGCAGUAGAAUGUUUGUACGGUUUUACUACUGAAGGAGAAAAAAAGAAGUCUGGCUGGCACUCUUACACGCCAGGACAGAUCAGGCAUGACCCAGUGCUCCAAGGAGUCAUUUCUUUCCUCCUCAAGGCAACUGCACAGCACAUCUUUCUGGAAGGUCUACAGAUAAUCAGCCCUCCCUGUUACCCACUAUGAACGAUUCCAUAUUCUCUAUGUGUACAUUUAAUACAUCCCUUUAAAUUGAUGCAGA
RNAcentral lists this long non-coding RNA (949 nucleotides) under Gallus gallus (chicken). RNAcentral describes it as "long non-coding RNA NONGGAT004222". Lineage: Eukaryota; Metazoa; Chordata; Aves; Galliformes; Phasianidae. The record is from RNAcentral.